AACGAACGCUGGCGGCAUGCCUAACACAUGCAAGUCGAACGAGACCUUCGGGUCUAGUGGCGCACGGGUGCGUAACGCGUGGGAAUCUGCCCUUCGGUUGGGAAUAACUGAGAGAAAUUUCAGCUAAUACCUUAUAAUGUCUUCGGACCAAAGAUUUAUCGCCGAGGGAUGAGCCCGCGUAGGAUUAGGUAGUUGGUGGGGUAAUGGCCUACCAAGCCGACGAUCCUUAGCUGGUCUGAGAGGAUGAUCAGCCACACUGGGACUGAGACACGGCCCAGACUCCUACGGGAGGCAGCAGUGGGGAAUAUUGGACAAUGGGCGAAAGCCUGAUCCAGCAAUGCCGCGUGAGUGCUGAAGGCAUUAGGGUUGUAAAGCUCUUUUACCCGGGAUGAUAAUGACAGUACCGGGAGAAUAAGCCCCGGCUAACUCCGUG
This 433-nucleotide ribosomal RNA is filed under the name uncultured bacterium. RNAcentral describes it as "partial 16S ribosomal RNA". It matches the Rfam family "Bacterial small subunit ribosomal RNA", at positions 29 to 507 of the family's 1533-position model. The record is from RNAcentral.